Molecule: ribosomal RNA, 532 nt
Filed under: Alternaria alternata
Lineage: Eukaryota; Fungi; Ascomycota; Dothideomycetes; Pleosporales; Pleosporaceae
Description: eukaryotic LSU rRNA
Rfam family: 5.8S ribosomal RNA (bases 156-309)
Source: RNAcentral
UGAGGCGGGCUGGACCUCUCGGGGUUACAGCCUUGCUGAAUUAUUCACCCUUGUCUUUUGCGUACUUCUUGUUUCCUUGGUGGGUUCGCCCACCACUAGGACAAACAUAAACCUUUUGUAAUUGCAAUCAGCGUCAGUAACAAAUUAAUAAUUACAACUUUCAACAACGGAUCUCUUGGUUCUGGCAUCGAUGAAGAACGCAGCGAAAUGCGAUAAGUAGUGUGAAUUGCAGAAUUCAGUGAAUCAUCGAAUCUUUGAACGCACAUUGCGCCCUUUGGUAUUCCAAAGGGCAUGCCUGUUCGAGCGUCAUUUGUACCCUCAAGCUUUGCUUGGUGUUGGGCGUCUUGUCUCUAGCUUUGCUGGAGACUCGCCUUAAAGUAAUUGGCAGCCGGCCUACUGGUUUCGGAGCGCAGCACAAGUCGCACUCUCUAUCAGCAAAGGUCUAGCAUCCAUUAAGCCUUUUUUUCAACUUUUGACCUCGGAUCAGGUAGGGAUACCCGCUGAACUUAAGCAUAUCAAUAAGCGGAGGAAA